AGGGGAAUGGCAGAAGUUCUAAGCUGUGCCCCACUGGGCAGAAGGAGCCUUCUCCUGAUGUCAUUGACUCAUCUAUCAUCCUGCUUUCUUUGGGAGGGGGAAUACAGCCAUUGGAUGGCAAUUACUGAUGGAGCAUAAAGAACAGAGCUAAAGAUGGUCAAAAGAAGAAAACAGAGCUGGUGUGGGAUGAGGUCAAAGGAAGGAAAAAUUGUCCAGAGAAGAAAACUGCAAUGACCUAAUUCACAAAAGAAAAUGAACCAACCACAGCCAGGGCUCUUGAAACUUCCUGGAGACACUGAUGCGCUUGAGGACGUGAUUGAGCUUCCUCAUGGAGGGCCUGUCAUCUGUCGACUUCUGGA
This is a long non-coding RNA of Pogoniulus pusillus (Red-fronted tinkerbird), 359 nucleotides long. RefSeq lists it as uncharacterized. NCBI's taxonomy places the organism in Eukaryota, Metazoa, Chordata, Aves, Piciformes, Lybiidae. The record is from RefSeq and is a predicted model, not a curated record. The transcript has 3 exons.